Molecule: ribosomal RNA, 487 nt
Filed under: uncultured bacterium
Lineage: Bacteria
Description: bacterial SSU rRNA
Rfam family: Bacterial small subunit ribosomal RNA
Source: RNAcentral
AUUGAACGCUGGCGGCAGGCCUAACACAUGCAAGUCGAGCGGAUGAGUGGAGCUUGCUCCAUGAUUCAGCGGCGGACGGGUGAGUAAUGCCUAGGAAUCCGCCUGGUAGUGGGGGACAACGUUUCGAAAGGAACGCUAAUACCGCAUACGUCCUACGGGAGAAAGUGGGGGAGUCUUCGGACCUCACGCUAUCAGAUGAGCCUAGGUCGGAUUAGCUAGUUGGUGAGGUAAAGGCUCACCAAGGCGACGAUCCGUAACUGGUCUGAGAGGAUGAUCAGUCACACUGGAACUGAGACACGGUCCAGACUCCUACGGGAGGCAGCAGUGGGGAAUAUUGGACAAUGGGCGAAAGCCUGAUCCAGCCAUGCCGCGUGUGUGAAGAAGGUCUUCGGAUUGUAAAGCACUUUAAGUUGGGAGGAAGGGCAGUAAGUUAAUACCUUGCUGUUUUGACGUUACCAACAGAAUAAGCACCGGCUAACUUCGUGCC